UGGGGAAUAUUGCACAAUGGAGGGAACUCUGAUGCAGCGACGCCGCGUGAAGGAAGAAGGUUUUCGGAUCGUAAACUUCUAUCAGCAGGGACGAAAAAAGACGGUACCUGACUAAGAAGCCCCGGCUAACUACGUGCCAGCAGCCGCGGUAAUACGUAGGGGGCAAGCGUUAUCCGGAAUUACUGGGUGUAAAGGGUGCGUAGGCGGUAAUGUAAGUCAGGUGUGAAAGCCCGAGGCUCAACUUCGGGAUUGCACUUGAAACUACAUAACUAGAGUACAGGAGAGGUGAGUGGAAUUCCUAGUGUAGCGGUGAAAUGCGUAGAUAUUAGGAGGAACACCAGUGGCGAAGGCGACUCACUGGACUGUAACUGACGCUGAGGCACGAAAGCGUGGGUAGCGAACAGG
Molecule: ribosomal RNA, 405 nt
Filed under: uncultured bacterium
Lineage: Bacteria
Description: bacterial SSU rRNA
Rfam family: Bacterial small subunit ribosomal RNA
Source: RNAcentral